RNAcentral lists this unclassified non-coding RNA (376 nucleotides) under soil metagenome. Its description in RNAcentral is "partial contains 5.8S ribosomal RNA, internal transcribed spacer 2, and large subunit ribosomal RNA". The stretch from base 1 to 120 matches the Rfam family "5.8S ribosomal RNA", at positions 35 to 154 of the family's 154-position model. The record is from RNAcentral.
GAUGAAGAACGCAGCGAAAUGUGAUAAGUAAUGUGAAUUGCAGAAUUCAGUGAAUCAUCGAAUCUUUGAACGCAUCUUGCGCUCCUUGGUAUUCUGAGGAGCAUGCCUGUUUGAGUGUCAUUAAAUUCUCAACUACACUGACUUUGAAUUGGUGUGGCUUGGAUUUGGGGGGAAAAUUGUUGUGGGCUUUUUGUAUAGUCUGCUCCCCUGAAAUUGAUUAGCGGUACCUUUGUGGAACUGUCUACAGGUGUGAUAAUUAUCUACAUCUUAGACAUCUGCUGGAAUGCUGCUUUCUAAACCUUACUUGUAUUGACAAUCUUGACCUCAAAUCAGGAAGGACUACCCGCUGAACUUAAGCAUAUCAAUAAGCGGAGGA